GUGGGGGAUAUUGCACAAUGGAGGAAACUCUGAUGCAGCGACGCCGCGUGAGUGAAGAAGUAUUUCGGUAUGUAAAGCUCUAUCAGCAGGGAAGAAAAUGACGGUACCUGACUAAGAAGCCCCGGCUAACUACGUGCCAGCAGCCGCGGUAAUACGUAGGGGGCAAGCGUUAUCCGGAUUUACUGGGUGUAAAGGGAGCGUAGACGGCGACGCAAGUCUGAAGUGAAAUACCCGGGCUCAACCUGGGAACUGCUUUGGAAACUGUGUUGCUAGAGUGCUGGAGAGGUAAGCGGAAUUCCUAGUGUAGCGGUGAAAUGCGUAGAUAUUAGGAAGAACACCAGUGGCGAAGGCGGCUUACUGGACAGUAACUGACGUUGAGGCUCGAAAGCGUGGGGAGCAAACAGGA
This 406-nucleotide ribosomal RNA is filed under the name uncultured bacterium. RNAcentral's name for it is "bacterial SSU rRNA". It matches the Rfam family "Bacterial small subunit ribosomal RNA", at positions 354 to 777 of the family's 1533-position model. The record is from RNAcentral.